ACACUUAGGCAGGAGUAUCUCCAUAGCACUUUAUAGGAGUGGAAUUGCUAGGGUAUUGGGGUAGGCUGACAAUGCCUCCCAAAGAUAUGUCCGCAUCCUAAUCCUUCAAACCUAUGACCUUAUUUGGAAAAAGAGUUUUAGCAAAUGUAAUUAAGUUAAAGAUCUUGAGAUAGGGAAAUUAUCCUGAAUUAUCCUAGUGAGCCCUAAUUGCAAUCCAACUGUCCUUAUAAAGUGGGAGCCAGAAGGAGAUUUGAAUCCAGACAGAAGAGAAGGCAAGGUACCUUGUCAACACCUUGAUUUCAGUCCAGUGAAACUGAUGUUAAACUUCUGGUCUCCAGAACUGUGAGGGAAUAAACUACUAUUGUUUUAAGUCCUCAAGUUUGUGGUGAUUUGCCACAGCAGACACCGGAAACUAAUACAGAAACAGCACUUUUCUUCAUGACAGAGGCUCCAAGGACACCGAAGGGGUUGAACUACAGACCCAGCUGCAACCUGAGGAGGUAUCUCAACAACCACACAAUAAUGGAGGAAAGAGAGAACUGAGGAAGUGGGGCUCUGAGCACAGAUCUAGCUUGGACAUGAGCAGAUUUUUCUUUAAUGUUUUGCAUAUUAGGUUUGAUAUACGAUUUUAUGUGGAAAAAAAAAGCUUUCACUUACUCAUUUUUGAAAAUCCUGGACUCUGGACAAUUCUUCACAUUGAACAAACAAAAGUUUCCAUAAUUGCAGAAUCUUCUAUGUUUGAUGUUUCUGGGAAGUAGACUCUUCAUAAAGGUGUGAUUUAAUGCAGAUUGGGGACAUAAGUCUGAACAAGCUCAUUAGUCUGCAUAUUACCUACAGGAUUUAUUGAUGAUGGUAUGAAACUAUCUGACAGCCGUCAGCCAGGAACAAUGUAUGCAUAAACCAGGGGAUGAGAAACAGGGUCAACAAACAUCAUGUGGUCAGAAAAUGUCGUUACCUAGGUUAACUACUAA
Herpailurus yagouaroundi (jaguarundi) is the source of this 971-nucleotide long non-coding RNA. RefSeq lists it as uncharacterized. The record is from RefSeq and is a predicted model, not a curated record. The transcript has 3 exons. Lineage: Eukaryota; Metazoa; Chordata; Mammalia; Carnivora; Felidae.